UACGUAGGGUGCGAGCGUUAAUCGGAAUUACUGGGCGUAAAGCGUGCGCAGGCGGUUCGCCAAGUCAGGUGUGAAAUCCCCGGGCUUAACCUGGGAAUUGCGCUUGAAACUAGCGAGCUUGAGUGUGGCAGAGGGGGGUGGAAUUCCACGUGUAGCAGUGAAAUGCGUAGAGAUCGGGAGGAACAUCAGUUGCGAAGGCGGCUCUCUGGACCAGUACUGACGCUGAGGCACGAAAGCGUGGGGAGCAAACAGG
Molecule: ribosomal RNA, 253 nt
Filed under: uncultured bacterium
Lineage: Bacteria
Description: partial 16S ribosomal RNA
Rfam family: Bacterial small subunit ribosomal RNA
Source: RNAcentral